Molecule: transfer RNA, 68 nt
Filed under: Marmota monax (woodchuck)
Lineage: Eukaryota; Metazoa; Chordata; Mammalia; Rodentia; Sciuridae
Description: tRNA.Ala
Source: RNAcentral
GUUGUAGUUCAGUGGUAGAAUGCUUGCUUGGCACGUGUGAGGUGCUGGGUUCGAUCCUCAGCACGACA